UAAGGUGCAUCUAGUGCAGAUAGUGAAGUAGACCAGCACCUACUGCCCUACGUGCUCCUUCUGGCA
Molecule: microRNA precursor, 66 nt
Organism: Oncorhynchus kisutch (coho salmon)
Lineage: Eukaryota; Metazoa; Chordata; Actinopteri; Salmoniformes; Salmonidae
Gene: MIR18A
Product: microRNA 18a
Source: Ensembl